This is a long non-coding RNA of Oncorhynchus nerka (sockeye salmon), 930 nucleotides long. RefSeq lists it as uncharacterized. Lineage: Eukaryota; Metazoa; Chordata; Actinopteri; Salmoniformes; Salmonidae. The record is from RefSeq and is a predicted model, not a curated record. The transcript has 2 exons.
GGACAAGUCAGGGGCAGUGGUGGAGAGUCCGUAAUGAACGUGGUGAGGAGGGUCAUGUUGCCAAGAAUGUUCUGGAGACUCUGGAUGGAAGGGAACUCUGGGAUGAGGGCUGAGGAGGUGUGAUCCCCACCAGUCCAGAUCUCCAGAUGGCAAAGCAUGGCUGGGGUACAAGACCUUCUCCAAAAUUCUUCGUUUGCAGCUUGCCAGUGAAUCCAACAGCUAUGGCCCUUAUAAUGGUCAUCAGACUGACUCGUCCUAAAGAACCAAGAGUCUACGGAGGGAGAACCAUUUAACCUUAUAAUUGUGUACACUUAUAGACGUCAGUGCAGUCCGUAGAAUGGAGUGAUGACUAAGCAAAACAAUUGGAGUAGCCAAAGAGAACUACUUUGUUAGUACUCCUAGCCACUUGUGAGCCCAUGUUAGAUCGUACAGUUUAUUUCAGUAAUUCUGAAUAUCCACAUUUGCAAGAAUCAAGGAACAAAAAUCGCCAAGCUUCAAAGUGUCCUCAAUGUUUACAGUGGACAGAUAUGCAAUAGUUUCUCUUUUGCACUUGAACGAAUGUAUUGUACUCAUCAUUAAAACAAUAUCCUUUGCAUAUUCGGGUAACGUUAUCCUGAAAAUAAAGUGAUGACACUGACAUUUAAUGAAAUCAUUUUUUAUUAACUCAAGGUUCUAAUUAUCACUUUAAAACAUUUAUGCUUUUUAGUUUCCAAAAAAAAAAAGAAAAAAAAAAGUACAAAACAAAAAUCAUAAGUCAGGACAGUAAAUUAUUUUAGCCAUUCAAACAUCUAACAUUAGUUAAUGUCACUCCAUUCCAAAGAUGAUACAUUUUCCUCCGUGCCAAUACUCAACCACAGGCAGCCAGAUCCUGAUAUUUUGCCACUGAAAUAGGAUUAAAGAACAGAAUUGGCCUGCCUGUGUAAAAACCUU